This 219-nucleotide ribosomal RNA is filed under the name uncultured bacterium. RNAcentral describes it as "partial 16S ribosomal RNA". It matches the Rfam family "Bacterial small subunit ribosomal RNA", at positions 28 to 222 of the family's 1533-position model. The record is from RNAcentral.
GACGAACGCUGGCGGCGUGCCUAAUACAUGCAAGUCGAACGGAACUCUGGUAUUGAUUGGUGCUUGCAUCAUGAUUUACAUUUGAGUGAGUGGCGAACUGGUGAGUAACACGUGGGAAACCUGCCCAGAAGCGGGGGAUAAACACCUGGAAACAGAUGCUAAUACCGCAUAACAACUUGGACCGCAUGGUCCGAGUUUGAAAGAUGGCUUCGGCUAUCU